RNAcentral lists this ribosomal RNA (401 nucleotides) under Burkholderiaceae bacterium Ellin7002. RNAcentral's name for it is "bacterial SSU rRNA". It matches the Rfam family "Bacterial small subunit ribosomal RNA", at positions 100 to 497 of the family's 1533-position model. The record is from RNAcentral. Lineage: Bacteria; Pseudomonadati; Pseudomonadota; Betaproteobacteria; Burkholderiales; Burkholderiaceae.
GAACGGGUGAGUAAUACAUCGGAACGUUUCCUGGAGUGGGGAAUAGCCCGGCGAAAGCCGGAUUAAUACCGCAUACGCUCUAUGGAGGAAAGCGGGGGAUCUUCGGACCUCGCGCUCAAGGGGCGGCCGAUGGCGGAUUAGCUAGUUGGUAGGGUAAAGGCCUACCAAGGCGACGAUCCGUAGCUGGUCUGAGAGGACGACCAGCCACACUGGGACUGAGACACGGCCCAGACUCCUACGGGAGGCAGCAGUGGGGAAUUUUGGACAAUGGGGGCAACCCUGAUCCAGCAAUGCCGCGUGUGUGAAGAAGGCCUUCGGGUUGUAAAGCACUUUUGUCCGGAAAGAAAUCCUCUGGGUUAAUACCUCGGGGGGAUGACGGUACCGGAAGAAUAAGCACCGCA